This is a non-coding RNA of Vicia faba (fava bean), 597 nucleotides long. Lineage: Eukaryota; Viridiplantae; Streptophyta; Magnoliopsida; Fabales; Fabaceae. The record is from the annotation of a GenBank genome assembly.
GCAGCAUCCAAGCAACCUGCUGCGCCAAUUUCUUUUCGCCCUCCGAAACACCCAAAACAGCCGUCUCACCAGUACAACACUCGCGCUAAGAGAACAAUGGAGAAUAUCAAGCAAGAGAUUUCUGAACUCCGCAGAGAGGUGACUAUUUUGAAAGCUAGUGUGGAGCGCUUAACUGGUUUGGUCGAAAUUUUGGUUUCCGCCCAAGUCAAUCCUUCUAGGAUGGAGGAAGCGAUGAUAAAAGUCUUCACUGAAACUCUAAAAUCAUUCUCUCAUGAGAAGGUGAUGGUUAAUGCACCUAAUGACUUUCCUGACAAGGCGAAUGUGGGAGUGCGUCUAGAAGAAGAUGUUGGGAAGGGAUGUUCAUAUGAAGAUGGUAGCUCAGCUAAUGGUGUGAAGAAGUUUGAUAAUAACUUUUCCAAGAAGAGAACCAUAGGAAGAAAUAUUCAUCGUCAAAAUCAUCAUGUUCCUCCUAUUCAUCAACAGAAUCAGCAAGUUCCUAAUCAGAGGAAAACCCAGUUUGAUCCAAUUCCAAUACCUAUACAGAGUUGUUCCCUAUCCUGGUGCAGAGGAAUUUGGUUCAGACCCGACCUCCACCGA